UGUAGUGUGGCCGAGUGGUCUAAGGUGCUGGAUUUAUGCUCCAAUCUCAAAAGAGUCAUGGCUUAAAAUCCCACCACUGCCA
RNAcentral lists this transfer RNA (82 nucleotides) under Danionella translucida. It matches the Rfam family "tRNA". From Rfam's summary of the family: Transfer RNA (tRNA) molecules are approximately 80 nucleotides in length. Their secondary structure includes four short double-helical elements and three loops (D, anti-codon, and T loops). The record is from Rfam by way of RNAcentral. RNAcentral also lists the same sequence under 1 other name. Lineage: Eukaryota; Metazoa; Chordata; Actinopteri; Cypriniformes; Danionidae.